This 91-nucleotide transfer RNA is filed under the name Zoogloea sp. Its description in RNAcentral is "tRNA-Ser". It matches the Rfam family "tRNA". From Rfam's summary of the family: Transfer RNA (tRNA) molecules are approximately 80 nucleotides in length. Their secondary structure includes four short double-helical elements and three loops (D, anti-codon, and T loops). RNAcentral also lists the same sequence under 2 other names. The record is from RNAcentral. Lineage: Bacteria; Pseudomonadati; Pseudomonadota; Betaproteobacteria; Rhodocyclales; Zoogloeaceae.
GGAAAGGUGGCAGAGUGGUCGAAUGCGCCGGACUCGAAAUCCGGUAUACGGUUUAGCCGUAUCGAGGGUUCGAAUCCCUCCCUUUCCGCCA